AACUGUAGACACGCAGACAAACACAGACAGACAGAGACCGCAUACGGGACAACAGCUGCGCUCAGGCCCCCCCAAAAAAAACGCACCAGAGCAACUGUAACAACGACAGUGCAGGAAAGGAAAAAAAACGAGGAGAAGCGCAAUGGACUCACUUGUGACGGGAGGCGGGGGGAGCAGUUGCGGUGCCGCCAGAUCUCUUCUUGCUCGGGUGUUCUUGUUGGAUAGCUCGAGUGAGUGGCACGCGCUCAUGCGCCUCGCCCCGACCGCACUGCCCUCGAGGGGUGGGUGGGGAUGAGGAACGCCGGCAGUGGGCCCAAGCUGGAGAGAGCCACGUGGCGUCGACACGGCUUCUCUGUUUGCGUUCUAUCUGAGAGGCCAUGAAGCAGCAAAUGAGGCGGUGGUGGGCAAGACAGUGCUGCCGCUCCAGUGGCGCGCCAGCGCACCGCGACGGCCCAUCCUCUGCCGAAAGUAGCGCGCACAGACGCAAAAAGGGGUGAGUGCGUGGCUGUUCUGUUCCCUUGCAUGUGCGCUGCUCUAACUUUUACGUUGUGGGCCGCACGGAAAGGAUGCACAGAAACCCUUCCUCAUGCGACAGGAUUGCCAUUUUGGCGCGCGUGCUUGCUUGCCACCUCACUGCCUUCUUUUUGGGUUUCUUUGUGGCUCUUACGGUGCCGCUUUUCGAACAUGGUGACUGUCGUCGUGCACUCUAG
Molecule: unclassified non-coding RNA, 710 nt
Filed under: Leishmania donovani
Lineage: Eukaryota; Euglenozoa; Kinetoplastea; Trypanosomatida; Trypanosomatidae
Description: gene:unknown
Source: RNAcentral